RNAcentral lists this ribosomal RNA (334 nucleotides) under Salmonella enterica subsp. enterica serovar Saintpaul. Its description in RNAcentral is "partial 23S ribosomal RNA". It matches the Rfam family "Bacterial large subunit ribosomal RNA", at positions 1121 to 1369 of the family's 2925-position model. RNAcentral also lists the same sequence under 1 other name. The record is from RNAcentral. Lineage: Bacteria; Pseudomonadati; Pseudomonadota; Gammaproteobacteria; Enterobacterales; Enterobacteriaceae.
AUUUAAAGAAAGCGUAAUAGCUCACUGGUCGAGUCGGCCUGCGCGGAAGAUGUAACGGGGCUAAACCAUGCACCGAAGCUGCGGCAGCGAACGUAUCACCCAAGACAACUUUACGGAGUUGACGAUUGACGGAGCGAAGCGACGUCAAAGCGUUCAUUAAAGUCGAGUUGGCUUAGGGAUACGUUCGUUGGGUAGGGGAGCGUUCUGUAAGCCUGUGAAGGUGUGUCGUGAGGCAUGCUGGAGGUAUCAGAAGUGCGAAUGCUGACAUAAGUAACGAUAAAGCGGGUGAAAAGCCCGCUCGCCGGAAGACCAAGGGUUCCUGUCCAACGUUAAU